RNAcentral lists this ribosomal RNA (1868 nucleotides) under Listeria monocytogenes. RNAcentral describes it as "partial 23S ribosomal RNA". It matches the Rfam family "Bacterial large subunit ribosomal RNA", at positions 1 to 1912 of the family's 2925-position model. The record is from RNAcentral. Lineage: Bacteria; Bacillati; Bacillota; Bacilli; Caryophanales; Listeriaceae.
GUUGUAUAGUCAAGUAAUGAAGUGCACAUGGUGGAUGCCUUGGCAGUCAGAGGCGAUGAAAGACGUGACAGCCUGCGAAAAGCGUCGGGGAGGCGGCAAUAUCCUGUGAUCCGGCGAUAUCUGAAUGGGGAAACCCACUUGUCAUAAGACAGGUAUCGUAAAUUUAUUUACGAGGCAAACCGGGAGAAGUGAAACAUCUCAGUAACCCGAGGAAAAGACAUCAAUAGAGAUUCCCCUAGUAGCGGCGAGCGAACGGGGAGGAGCCGACUGAUUAUAAUUUAGAGGAAUGACUUGGAAAGGUCAAUCGUAGAGGGUGAUAAUCCCGUACUCGAAAGGUUAUAAGAAGCAUAUUAAGUAGGGCGGAACACGAGAAAUUCUGUCUGAAGAUGGGGGGACCAUCCUCCAAGGCUAAAUACUCCUGACUGACCGAUAGUGAACCAGUACCGUGAGGGAAAGGCGAAAAGAACCCCUGUGAGGGGAGUGAAAUAGAACCUGAAACCGUGUGCAUACAAGCAGUCGGAGCGGACAUGUUCCGUGACGGCGUACCUUUUGUAUAAUGGGUCAGCGACUUAUAUUCUGUAGCAAGGUUAACCGAAUAGGGGAGCCGUAGGGAAACCGAGUCUUAAUAGGGCGUCUAGUUGCAGGGUAUAGACCCGAAACCGAGUGAUCUAUCCAUGAGCAGGUUGAAAGUGACGUAACAGUUACCGGAGGACCGAACCCACUGUCGUUGAAAAGCCAGGGGAUGACUUGUGGAUAGGGGUGAAAGGCUAAUCAAACUCGGUGAUAGCUGGUUCUCCCCGAAAGCUAUUUAGGUAGCGCCUCGGACGAACACCAUUGGGGGUAGAGCACUGUUUCGGCUAGGGGGUCAUCCCGACUUACCAAACCGAUGCAAACUCCGAAUACCGAUGAGUGAUAUCCGGGAGACAGACGGCGGGUGCUAACGUCCGUCGUCAAGAGGGAAACAACCCAGACCGCCAGCUAAGGCCCCAAAUUCCUAGUUAAGUGGGAAACGAUGUGGGAAGGCACAGACAGCUAGGAGGUUGGCUUAGAAGCAGCCAUCCUUUAAAGAAAGCGUAAUAGCUCACUAGUCGAGUCGGCCUGCGCGGAAGAUGUAACGGGGCUCAAACUAGGAGCCGAAGCUGCGGAUUUAAUUGUUUCAAUUAAGUGGUAGGGGAGCAUUGUGUAAGCCUGUGAAGGUGUGUUGUAAAGCAUGCUGGAGGUAUCACAAGAGCGAAUGCUGACGUGAGUAACGACAAAACGGGUGAAAAGCCCGUUCGCCGGAAGACCAAGGGUUCCAGUCCAACGUUAAUCGGGGCUGGGUGAGUCGACCCCUAAGGCGAGGCCGAAAGGCGUAGUCGAUGGGAAAUCGGUUAAUAUUCCGAUACUUGUUUAUGAUGCGAUGGAGGGACGGAGAAGGUUAUGCCAGCUUGGCGAUGGUUGUCCAAGUGGAAGGAUGUAGUUAGGUUUAGUAGGCAAAUCCGCUAGACUAUUAAUGAGAUCUGAUAGCAAGCUGUACUUGUACAGCGAAGUGGCAAAUACCCUGCUUCCAGGAAAAGCUUCUAAGCGAUAGUCAUAAAGAAAUCGUACCCUAAACCGACACAGGUGGUCAGGUAGAGAAUACCAAGGCGCUUGAGAGAACUCUGCUGAAGGAACUAGGCAAAAUGGUACCGUAACUUCGGGAGAAGGUACGCUGCCGAUGGUGAGUAGUCAUGCACUACAAAGCUAUUGGCAGUCGCAGAUACCAGGCCGCUGCAACUGUUUAUUAAAAACACAGCACUCUGCAAACACGAAAGUGGACGUAUAGGGUGUGAUGCCUGCCCGGUGCUGGAAGGUUAAUUGAUGGGGUUAGCGUAAGCGAAGCUCUUGAU